GUCCUAAUGGGUAUGAAGUGGUAUCUCAUUGUUUUUGUUUGUAUUUCUCUGAUGAUUAGUGGGAUGUUGAGCAUCUUUUCAUAUGAUUGCUGACCAUUUGUGUAUCAUUUUUGGAGAAGUGUCUAUUCAAAUCUUUUGCCCAUUUUUAAAAUAAGUUAUAUGAUAUUUUGUUGAGUUGCAUUAAUUUUUUCUAUAUUCUGGAUAUUAACCCUUCAGCGUCUCUUUUGCCAUCUAACACGGCAUUCACAGGUUGUAGGGAUUGAAAUUUAGAUAUCUUUAGGAGACCACUAUUCAGCCUACCACAUGUGGACUGUCAAGGCCUUCAUUCCUCAUUAUAACACUGGCUCUUAUCAUGGAAGAACUUGAGAAAUCAUUAGUCCAGCUUCUACCUAUUUUGUCUAGUAAUGCACUUUUAUUUUAAAUUUAAUUAAACAAUUGACCUGGUUUUUCUACUUUGUUCAGUUUGCCUGAGUAUCAAACCUGUGUCAUUCAUAGUAUUUAUUUUUUAUAUUUUAAAACUGAUAUUUGCUCAACAGAUCUAAUUAUUUUCCAUUUUUAUAGCUCAAUGUAGAUGCUCCUGAUUUUUGCAAGAGACCUUACUAGCUCAGCCAGUCCUGAUAGAGCCUAUUUUAGCAGGGAGAAGAAAGAAUAUUCAGGUUCUACAAAAUUGUGGAGCAUGAGGAUAGGUUUACCAACCCAGUGUGACUCUGAGAUACUGAAUGAGCAUGAGAAAGUGACACUUCAUGACUGAAAUUUGGAAGCCUCUCGUGUGGAGCUAAAAACCCAAGCCACCUUUUACAGUGUUGCAACCUCAGUCCCAAGCAGCCUAAACUAAGAAGAGCAAGCCAAAAUGAGAAGCCAAGAAAAGGAUAGAAAAACAGGAUGCUGAUGGGUCUGCACUUUAGAGAGAACGGUGUGUGCUAAGCCCAGGAGGAAAUAGAUGAUCUUCUGAUGUAAUUCCUGCUCAGAAGUGAACAUUUGCUCCAUGCCAUUUCUGCCACCAACACUGAAAAAUUAGAAAAAUACCUUGGAUCUCUUCAUUAUACAGAAACAAUAGUGCAAAUUUGUGUGACCUAGACUGGAAUAGACCAAGGUUACAUUCUGAGCUAAGCCCAAUUCUUAGAAAUAUAAUUCUUUCAUCUUUAAUUUUCUAUUUCAUUUGAGCAAAACGGUUGGAGAUUUCAGAAGCACUCAGCAGGACUGAGGAUUGUUGAUGAAUUUCAAGGUUUUGUUGAAUACUUUAAAUUGCAACUAAUUAUAAGUCGUUCUUUAGAAAUUGUUAUACAACACCAUUUUUGUAAUUGAUUUGUAUAAACAGAUAUCGCAUUGCAUUAUGUUUGGUUUUUGUGGUCUGUAAAUUCU
RNAcentral lists this long non-coding RNA (1362 nucleotides) under Pan paniscus (pygmy chimpanzee). RNAcentral's name for it is "lncRNA (ENSPPAG00000044463.1)". The record is from RNAcentral. Lineage: Eukaryota; Metazoa; Chordata; Mammalia; Primates; Hominidae.